GGAAGUAUGUGGCAGGAGAAUGUUUUGAGAUAUCAGUUCAUUAUUUUGCGUUUUGUUCACUGUAUUUUCCUUCUCUUUCAAGCCCUACCUUGAAUUCUAAGAACAUAAUCAGUCCAUUGUGCUCGCUUACCCCUGGGAAAGUUGGUGCUGUUGGGCUGAAAAUAGAUGUGGUCGGCCAACAAGCUCCCUUCCUGGUUUUUGUUUUCUGGAGGCCUGAGUUCCUAGGGAGGAUUGUACUAGGCUUAAAGCAAGAAAGGUGAUUGAGGAAGGGAAAGCAGCCCGACAAGAGGGUUUUCCAAGAAUGGGAAGAAGAAUGGAUGUAUGCAGAUCCUUGGUUGAGUGGGAAUGCCGCUCUCAGUUAGUACCCGGGUGAGGCAGCAGGAACUCAGAAGAGACUAUCUUUAGAAUAUGGCUAAAGGGGGUGGACCCUAAACACCAAAACCUCCAGCCUCAGCAGAGUCCUGGCAUCAAUCUUGGCACCAACACAGCACGGCGCUCUGCUUCCUGGUGUGGCGGGGGAGAAGGGGACUAUGAACAAUAGCAGCAGCGAGAGCCCCAUUUUCUAGGCACUCUUCUGUUCCGGGGAGACCUUAGGGAAGGAGAACUCUACCCCAACUACAACAGAAAAUAGUCAGCUGAGAUGGAACUUUCCAUCUGUCAAGUGGGAUGGAAGCUUGAGGGCGAUCUUCAGGUUCCAACCCUGGAGCUUUCAUGCCUUCAGGAGGAAGAGUGCCUGAGAAGCAUGCUGUCUUUGCGAUCUAGAACAAACUUUGUCCUUUCUAGAAUAGGAGGAGACAACAAGGCGAGUCUGAAACUGAAAGGGAAGGUCUGCGUGUUGAGGCUGGUUGUCCAAGGUAAGUGUUCCCUUCUCCAUUUACUGUAGGAGCAGCGCAGUGUGUAACAUACGAAGUUUGCACAUUCCUGCAGCUUGGUUUCGAGUCCCAGAAUUCUUACUGAUGCGAUGUUGAUAGUGUGGUUGCCUAAUGAACCAGUUCUAGACUCAGCUUUUAACGUAAAACUAAAAGAGAUGAAAGACUUGCAGAUUUUCAGACCCUGGAAACCCUAGAUCUAGAUAACACAAAAAGGCGCUUCUCCCCUUAGUAGUCAGGAUUGUCAUGGUUACCUAUAAAACAGUAUUUGCAUUUCAAAGAAAUCCACAUUUUUU
This 1165-nucleotide long non-coding RNA is filed under the name Oryctolagus cuniculus (rabbit). RNAcentral describes it as "lncRNA (ENSOCUG00000030641.1)". The record is from RNAcentral. Lineage: Eukaryota; Metazoa; Chordata; Mammalia; Lagomorpha; Leporidae.